AAAGAGUCAGACAAAUACAUGUUCGAUCGUUAGAUAAUUUGAUAGUUAGUUAGUUAAUAGGUAGUCCAAUAGUACCCUUGUAUAGUACCCUUAGUUAGAUAGGUAGUUAGAUAGGUAGUUUAAUAGUUAGACAGAUUGAAUUAGUUAGUUAGUUCGUUAAUUUUACUGUAUUCUGUAUUUGUUUAUUUAUUUAUUUAUUUGGAUUAUUUUUUUGUUUUUGUUUUAUUUUAUUUUGGUGUUUUUCUUUUUGUUUCUUUUUCCUUUUCUUUAUCUUUUUCUUUGUUUUCUUGGUGUUGUUUUUCUUUUUUGAUGUUCUUUUAUUUCAUAUCAUCCUCUUGUUGAUGUUCAUUGGUCUGGGUGAGCCGCUUUCCUCCCAGAAGAGACCCACCCAUAAUUUUGGUGAUGUUAGUUAGGGGCCGAAAGGUGGAUGAUGUUUCUUUGUAUGUUACUUUUCUUGAUGUUGUUCUGUUAUUGCUGUUACUUUUCUUUUGCGAUGUUUUUUUGCUCUUUUUCCCCUAUUUUUUGGUGUUCUUUUCUAUAUCAUCCCUCUUUGAUGUUCUUUGGUCUGGGUGAGC
Long non-coding RNA from Eriocheir sinensis (Chinese mitten crab), 575 nucleotides. RefSeq lists it as uncharacterized. The record is from RefSeq and is a predicted model, not a curated record. The transcript is spliced from 2 exons. Lineage: Eukaryota; Metazoa; Arthropoda; Malacostraca; Decapoda; Varunidae.